This 385-nucleotide long non-coding RNA is filed under the name Gallus gallus (chicken). Lineage: Eukaryota; Metazoa; Chordata; Aves; Galliformes; Phasianidae. The record is from RNAcentral.
CAAGUAUGAGUCCUGUAUUUCUCGAUCUUCCUGUUUGAGCAGAAAGCUGAGUCCCCUUUCUUCCUGACUUGUUCCUCCAUUCUGCUGGCCAAAACUACCAUCGAGAUCUCCAUCUUCUGGGGUCAGACAUCUCCAGGAUGGUGCAGCCAUAGUGGUGAUGCAGUGUUGAGUAUAUGAGACUGGAUUUACGGUACCUACUUGUUCUGGAUCAAGACCAAUAAUAGAGGGUUUUCGUCCAAUGCGAAUGCUGAACGACCUCCCUGCUGAGGUAGUGUUUUUGGGGUAUGACACCUCCAUGAGGUUAAUAUGGCAGUUGGUGGGGCAGAAAUCCAUGCUGUUGAGAGAAUGUGGUUCCAUGAUGGCUUGUUUGAAGGCUGGGCUCACC